AUUGAACGCUGGCGGCAGGCCUAACACAUGCAAGUCGAGCGGAUGAAGGGAGCUUGCUCCUGGAUUCAGCGGCGGACGGGUGAGUAAUGCCUAGGAAUCUGCCUGGUAGUGGGGGAUAACGUCCGGAAACGGGCGCUAAUACCGCAUACGUCCUGAGGGAGAAAGUGGGGGAUCUUCGGACCUCACGCUAUCAGAUGAGCCUAGGUCGGAUUAGCUAGUUGGUGGGGUAAAGGCCUACCAAGGCGACGAUCCGUAACUGGUCUGAGAGGAUGAUCAGUCACACUGGAACUGAGACACGUCCCAGACUCCUAGGGGAGGCAGCAGGGGGGAAUUUUGGACAAGGGGCGAAAGCCUGACCCAGCCAGGCCGGGUGUGGGAAGAGGGUCUCCGAUUGGUAAAGCACUUUAGGUGGGGAGAAAGGGAAGUAAGUAAUACCUUGCUGUUUUGACGUUACCAACAGAAUAAGCACCGGCUAACUUCGUG
This 483-nucleotide ribosomal RNA is filed under the name uncultured bacterium. Its description in RNAcentral is "partial 16S ribosomal RNA". It matches the Rfam family "Bacterial small subunit ribosomal RNA", at positions 30 to 507 of the family's 1533-position model. The record is from RNAcentral.